UACCUUUUGUUCUAGUCAAAGUUUUAAAAUUUUGACCAACUUUAUAGAAAAGAAUAGUAGCAUGUAUGACAUCUAAUUGAUAUAUUAUGGAAGUACAUUUCAAAACGAAUCUAGCGAUACUAAUUUAGUGCCAUAAAUGCUGCUACUUUUUUCUAUAAAGUUGGUCAAAGUUUUAAAACUUUGACUUAGGACAAAACCUAG
Molecule: microRNA precursor, 201 nt
Filed under: Triticum aestivum (bread wheat)
Lineage: Eukaryota; Viridiplantae; Streptophyta; Magnoliopsida; Poales; Poaceae
Also listed under: 1 other name
Description: MIR1435 microRNA precursor family
Rfam family: MIR1435 microRNA precursor family
Source: Rfam by way of RNAcentral